AACUUUUAACAACGGAUCUCUUGGCUCUCGCAUCGAUGAAGAACGCAGCGAAAUGCGAUAAGUAAUGUGAAUUGCAGAAUUCAGUGAAUCAUCGAAUCUUUGAACGCACCUUGCGCUCCUUGGUAUUCCGAGGAGCAUGCCUGUUUGAGUGUCAU
RNAcentral lists this ribosomal RNA (155 nucleotides) under Filobasidium stepposum. Its description in RNAcentral is "5.8S ribosomal RNA". It matches the Rfam family "5.8S ribosomal RNA". From Rfam's summary of the family: 5.8S ribosomal RNA (5.8S rRNA) is a component of the large subunit of the eukaryotic ribosome. It is transcribed by RNA polymerase I as part of the 45S precursor that also contains 18S and 28S rRNA. Functionally, it is thought that 5.8S rRNA may be involved in ribosome translocation. Lineage: Eukaryota; Fungi; Basidiomycota; Tremellomycetes; Filobasidiales; Filobasidiaceae. The record is from RNAcentral.